UUCAGUUUCUUCAGUUUUCUCUAUCAGUAUAAGAUAAGAGAGAAUUAGCAUGGACCCUGCGCAAGGAUGACAGCAAAUUAACCAAGCGUUUCAAACUUUUU
RNAcentral lists this small nuclear RNA (101 nucleotides) under Stegodyphus mimosarum. Lineage: Eukaryota; Metazoa; Arthropoda; Arachnida; Araneae; Eresidae. The record is from RNAcentral.